RNAcentral lists this ribosomal RNA (429 nucleotides) under Actinomycetes bacterium. Its description in RNAcentral is "Actinobacteria bacterium partial 16S ribosomal RNA". It matches the Rfam family "Bacterial small subunit ribosomal RNA", at positions 355 to 776 of the family's 1533-position model. The record is from RNAcentral. Lineage: Bacteria; Bacillati; Actinomycetota; Actinomycetes.
UAGGGAAUCUUCCGCAAUGGGCGAAAGCCUGACGGAGCAACGCCGCGUGAGUGAUGAAGGUCUUCGGAUCGUAAAACUCUGUUACUAGGGAAGAACAAAUGUGUAAGUAACUAUGCACGUCUUUACGGUACCUAAUCAGAAAGCCACGGCUAACUACGUGCCAGCAGCCGCGGUAAUACGUAGGUUGCAAUCGUUAUCCGGAAUUAUUGGGCGUAAAGCGCGCGUAGGCGGUUAUUUAAGUCUGAUGUGAAAGCCCACGGCUCAACCGUGGAGGGUCAUUGGAAACUGGAAAACUGAAGUGCAGAAGAGGAAAGUGGAAUUCCAUGUGUAGCGGUGAAAUGCGCAGAAAUAUGGAGGAACACCAGUGGCGAAGGCGACUUUCUGAUCUAUAACUGACGCUGAUGUGCGAAAGCGUGGGGAUCAAACAGG